This 582-nucleotide ribosomal RNA is filed under the name uncultured fungus. RNAcentral's name for it is "eukaryotic LSU rRNA". It matches the Rfam family "Eukaryotic large subunit ribosomal RNA", at positions 52 to 620 of the family's 3401-position model. The record is from RNAcentral. Lineage: Eukaryota; Fungi.
GGAGGAAAAGAAACUAACAAGGAUUCCCCUAGUAACGGCGAGUGAACAGGGAAGAGCUCAAAUUUGUAAUCUGGCGUCCCUUAGGCGUCCGAGUUGUAAUCUAUAGAAGCGUUUUCCGUGCUGGACCAUGUCCAAGUCCCUUGGAACAGGGUAUCAAAGAGGGUGACAAUCCCGUGCUUGACAUGACGACCAGUGCUCUGUGAUACGCUCUCUACGAGUCGAGUUGUUUGGGAAUGCAGCUCAAAAUGGGUGGUGAGUUCCAUCUAAAGCUAAAUAUUGGCGAGAGACCGAUAGCGAACAAGUACCGUGAGGGAAAGAUGAAAAGCACUUUGGAAAGAGAGUUAAACAGUACGUGAAAUUGUUGAAAGGGAAACGAUUGAAGUCAGUCGUGUCCGAGGGGUUCAGCCGGUUCUGCCGGUGUAUUCCCCUCGGAUGGGUCAACGUCAGUUUGGACCGGUGGAAAAGGGCAGUUGGAAGGUGGCAGCUCCGGCUGUGUUAUAGCCUUCUGUCGCAUACGCCGGUCUAGACUGAGGAAUGCAGCUCGCCUUCAUGGCUGGGGUUCUCCCACAUUCGAGCUUAGGA